Molecule: long non-coding RNA, 171 nt
Organism: Scomber japonicus (chub mackerel)
Lineage: Eukaryota; Metazoa; Chordata; Actinopteri; Scombriformes; Scombridae
Exons: 3
Source: RefSeq, a predicted model, not a curated record
AUGAAGAGUGACUGGUCUAAUGAUGAACCUCCAGUCUUCAGUAAUGAACCUGGACCCUCAGACACAAAACAGAGAGCAGAGUCUCUAAUAUCCAGCUGUCUGUCUAUGAAGAGUGACCAGUCUAAAGAUCAUGUACCUCCACUCUUCAGUAAUGAACCUGGACCCUCAGAC